This 433-nucleotide ribosomal RNA is filed under the name uncultured bacterium. RNAcentral describes it as "partial 16S ribosomal RNA". It matches the Rfam family "Bacterial small subunit ribosomal RNA", at positions 29 to 507 of the family's 1533-position model. The record is from RNAcentral.
AACGAACGCUGGCGGCAUGCCUAACACAUGCAAGUCGAACGAGACCUUCGGGUCUAGUGGCGCACGGGUGCGUCACGCGUGGGAACCUGCCCUUAGGCUCGGAAUAACUCCCCGAAAGGGGUGCUAAUACCGGAUAAUGUCUUCGGACCAAAGAUUUAUCGCCUUUGGAUGGGCCCGCGUUGGAUUAGCUAGUUGGUAGGGUAAAAGCCUACCAAGGCGACGAUCCAUAGCUGGUCUGAGAGGAUGAUCAGCCACACUGGGACUGAGACACGGCCCAGACUCCUACGGGAGGCAGCAGUGGGGAAUAUUGGAAAAUGGGCGAAAGCCUGAUCGAGCAAUGCCGCGUGAGUGAUGAAGGCCUUAGGGUUGUAAAGCUCUUUUACCCGGGAUGAUAAUGACAGUACCGGGAGAAUAAGCUCCGGCUAACUCCGUG